GGCUGGUUAGCUCAGUUGGUUAGAGUGUGGUGCUGGUAACACUAAGGUCAGGGGUUCAAGUCUCCGUAUUGGCCA
Non-coding RNA from Galeopterus variegatus (Sunda flying lemur), 75 nucleotides. The record is from the annotation of a RefSeq genome assembly. NCBI's taxonomy places the organism in Eukaryota, Metazoa, Chordata, Mammalia, Dermoptera, Cynocephalidae.